AGUGAGCGCUGGCGGUAGGCCUAACACAUGCAAGUCGAACGGCAGCACAGUAAGAGCUUGCUCUUACGGGUGGCGAGUGGCGGACGGGUGAGGAAUACAUCGGAAUCUACUUUUUCGUGGGGGAUAACGUAGGGAAACUUACGCUAAUACCGCAUACGACCUACGGGUGAAAGCAGGGGAUCUUCGGACCUUGCGCGAUUGAAUGAGCCGAUGUCGGAUUAGCUAGUUGGCGGGGUAAAGGCCCACCAAGGCGACGAUCCGUAGCUGGUCUGAGAGGAUGAUCAGCCACACUGGAACUGAGCCACGGCCCCGACCCCUACGGGAGGCAGCAGUGGGGAAUAUUGGACAAUGGGCGCAAGCCUGAUCCAGCCAUACCGCGUGGGUGAAGAAGGCCUUCGGGUUGUAAAGCCCUUUUGUUGGGAAAGAAAAGCAGCAGGUUAAUACCCCGCUGUUCUGACGGUACCCAAAGAAUAAGCACCGGCUAACUUCGUG
RNAcentral lists this ribosomal RNA (492 nucleotides) under uncultured bacterium. RNAcentral's name for it is "partial 16S ribosomal RNA". It matches the Rfam family "Bacterial small subunit ribosomal RNA", at positions 29 to 507 of the family's 1533-position model. The record is from RNAcentral.